RNAcentral lists this ribosomal RNA (402 nucleotides) under uncultured bacterium. Its description in RNAcentral is "bacterial SSU rRNA". It matches the Rfam family "Bacterial small subunit ribosomal RNA", at positions 355 to 775 of the family's 1533-position model. The record is from RNAcentral.
UAGGGAAUCUUCCACAAUGGACGCAAGUCUGAUGGAGCAACGCCGCGUGAACGAUGAAGGUCUUCGGAUCGUAAAGUUCUGUUGCAGGGGAAGAUAAUGACGGUACCCUGUGAGGAAGCCCCGGCUAACUACGUGCCAGCAGCCGCGGUAAUACGUAGGGGGCUAGCGUUAUCCGGAUUUACUGGGCGUAAAGGGUGCGUAGGUGGUCUUUCAAGUCGGUGGUUAAAGGCUACGGCUCAACCGUAGUAAGCCUCCGAAACUGUUAGACUUGAGUGCAGGAGAGGAAAGUGGAAUUCCCAGUGUAGCGGUGAAAUGCGUAGAUAUUGGGAGGAACACCAGUAGCGAAGGCGGCUUUCUGGACUGCAACUGACACUGAGGCACGAAAGCGUGGGUAGCAAACAG